Molecule: long non-coding RNA, 1265 nt
Organism: Hemibagrus wyckioides
Lineage: Eukaryota; Metazoa; Chordata; Actinopteri; Siluriformes; Bagridae
Exons: 3
Source: RefSeq, a predicted model, not a curated record
UUCUUCUAUUAUGGAGAGAAGAUUAAUGCCAUUCUUGUUUUUCAUAUUACUAAGGGUUUUAGUGUAAGAAACAAAAUCAUUAUGAAAUGCACGGGUUUCACUUUUAUGAAUUUUGAUUUGAGUAUGAAAAAUUUCCUCAGCACAUUAACUUUUUGCCUCCACAGAUUAAGCUCGCCAUAUAAUGAGACGGUCACCUCAUUUUAGUGGAGCACUGUCCAUAAGCCCAGAAUUGCGCGAUGAAGGCCUGGAUAAAAAUGACUUUGUUGGUAAGUGUAACAAUGCUUGCAGAACCAGAGCACCAGAGGGAGCCAUCACCCGAAUAUUGACAUUUGCAAACUCGUUUCCUGUCUUACUCGGGUAUUUAAGCAGCACGCUGCCUAUUGUUCACUGCGAAGUAUUGUUCUCUCUAGUGGAUUAUGUACCAAGCCUUGUUUAUUGUUCCUGAUUGCCUGCUACAUGUAUGAUCUUUGCCUGUUACUGUUUUCUACGAGUCUCGGUUUUGCGGUUUUGGUUUCUGUUCGCUAGUUCUUGAUUGUCCGGUUUUUGUCCGAUUGUUCCGAUUCUUGCCUGCCGUUUUGUGAAUAAAGAUUUGCAUAUGGAUUCUACUACGCCUGCCUCGAGUGCGUCCUUACAGACCUGGUGCUACAGAAGCAUACAACAUGGAGUUCAACACAAGAACAACACAGAGCUAGGACCGAAAGUUCGUCCAAGCCACAUAAAGUGUUAUGUUUUGUUGUCACCAUGUUGUUCUUAAUUCUGUUUUUGUUAUUUAUCUGUGUAGUUGUUUGGUUGGUUGUAGUUUUUAAAAAACCCAUUCAUUUUUUUUCUAGUUGCCUGUAAGACAUACUACGAGACCAUGCAUAGAAAUUUCCAGUACAGCCAGAGCUAGCGAAUGUGGCUGCAGCUAAUAAGACCUCAGCCCGGAGUCGCCGGAGGAGGAAGAGGCUCUUGGAGGCGAGGCAAAGUGUACUGGCUGCGGACGAAGUGGACUUCUGGAGGGGAAUCACCGCUGACAUGAUGUCAGAUGAAGAAGACGGUGCUGUUGAUGGAGUCUCGGGGUGGAUUGUGAGGCCUCCAUCGUUCCACAGCCAGGAGCUCAGAAGUCUGUGUGCUAGGCUGCAGAUGAGAGUAGAAGGCAGUUCAAAGUAUGCAGCACUGCAUCACCGGCGUCUGUGAACUGGGCUUCCGUCUAACAGAACGCCACCGCAUACCUACGACCCUGUGACGGCAAAAAGACAUUUGAUGCCAAACGUGAUGCCAUGACA